This 449-nucleotide long non-coding RNA is filed under the name Phoenix dactylifera (date palm). Its description in RNAcentral is "long non-coding RNA (PDAC_LNC010485)". The record is from RNAcentral. Lineage: Eukaryota; Viridiplantae; Streptophyta; Magnoliopsida; Arecales; Arecaceae.
CUAUGGGGUCGUACACAUUAGAGGUAUUGACCGAUCUGAUGGUUGAAUGUGAUUAGGAAUCACAAAUAAUCAAUUAGAUUGAUAAAUGGUUAACCCGCUAAGAGUUAGUGGUUAGAAGAAGGAAUAAUUGCAAUCGGAUUGCAAUUUAAUUUAAUUAAUUGGAUUUAAUUAAUUAGACUUGAUCACGAGUCCUACUUGGAGUAGGAUUCAUGAAGUCCUAAUUGGAUUAGGAUUUCAAAUUAAAUUAGAAUCCUAUUUGGAAUAGGAUUUCUAAAGUCCUAAUUAUCUUAGGGCUGAAAUUUAAUAAGUCCUAAUUAGAUUAGGAUUAUUUUAAGUCCUAAUUAAUUUUAAAUUUAAUCUAAUUAAUUUCAUGACUUCUAAUUGGAUUAGGAUUGAAGAGUUCAAUAGAGUCAUGGUUCAAUUAAAUCCUAAUUUGAUUAGGAUUUGGA